AUUGAACGCUGGCGGCAGGCUUCACACAUGCAAGUCGAGCGAGUGGCGGACGGGUGAGUAAUGUCUGGGAAACUGCCUGAUGGAGGGGGAUCACUACUGGAAACGGUAGCUAAUACCGCAUACCAUCAGAUGUGCCCAGAUGGGAUUAGCUAGUAGGUGGGGUAAAGGCUCACCUAGGCGACGAUCCAUAGCUGGUCUGAGAGGAUGACCAGCCAAACUGGAACUGAGACACGGUCCAGACUCCUACGGGAGGCAGCAGUGGGGAAUAUUGCACAAUGGGCGCAAGCCUGAUGCAGCCAUGCCGCGUGUGUGAAGAAGGCCUUCGGGUUGUAAAGCACUUUCAGCGGGGAGGCGUUACUCGCAGAAGAAGCACCGGCUAACUCCGUGCCAGCAGCCGCGGUAAUUC
RNAcentral lists this ribosomal RNA (406 nucleotides) under uncultured bacterium. RNAcentral describes it as "partial 16S ribosomal RNA". It matches the Rfam family "Bacterial small subunit ribosomal RNA", at positions 30 to 526 of the family's 1533-position model. The record is from RNAcentral.